CCUCGGGAGGCAGCAGUGGGGAAUCUUGCACAAUGGAGGAAACUCUGGUGCAGCGAUGCCGCGUGAGUGAAGAAGGCCUUUGGGUUGUAAAGCUCUUUCGUCGGGGAAGAAAAUGACUGUACCCGAAUAAGAAGGUCCGGCUAACUUCGUGCCAGCAGCCGCGGUAAUACGAAGGGACCUAGCGUAGUUCGGAAUUACUGGGCUUAAAGAGUUCGUAGGUGGUUGAAAAAGUUAGUGGUGAAAUCCCAGAGCUUAACUCUGGAACUGCCAUUAAAACUUUUCAGCUAGAGUAUGAUAGAGGAAAGCAGUAUUUCUAGUGUAGAGGUGAAAUUCGUAGAUAUUAGAAAGAAUACCAAUUGCGAAGGCAGCUUUCUGGAUCAUUACUGACACUGAGGAACGAAAGCAUGGGUAGCGAAGAGGAUUAGAUACCCUCGUAGUCCAUGCCGUAAACGAUGUGUGUUAGACGUUGGAAAUUUAUUUUCAGUGUCGCAGCGAAAGCGAUAAACACACCGCCUGGGGAGUACGACCGCAAGGUUAAAACUCAAAGGAAUUGACGG
Molecule: ribosomal RNA, 557 nt
Filed under: uncultured bacterium
Lineage: Bacteria
Description: bacterial SSU rRNA
Rfam family: Bacterial small subunit ribosomal RNA
Source: RNAcentral